RNAcentral lists this ribosomal RNA (328 nucleotides) under uncultured eukaryote. RNAcentral's name for it is "partial 18S ribosomal RNA". It matches the Rfam family "Eukaryotic small subunit ribosomal RNA", at positions 1470 to 1796 of the family's 1831-position model. The record is from RNAcentral.
CCCUUAGAUGUCCUGGGCCGCGCGCGCGUUACACUGAUGCAUUCAACGAGCUUAUAACCUUGGCCGAGAGGCCUGGGCAAUCUUGUUAACGUGCAUCGUGAUAGGGAUAGAUUAUUGAAAUUAUUAAUCUUGAACGAGGAAUUCCUAGUAAACGCAGAUCAUCAAUCUACAUUGAUUACGUCCCUGCCCUUUGUACACACCGCCCGUCGCACCUACCGAUUGGAUGGUCCGGUGAAGCCUCGGGAUUGUGGUUCUUGCCGCUUUAUUGUGGCGUGACCGCGAGAACUUGUCUAAACCUUAUCAUCUAGAGGAAGGUGAAGUCGUAACA